RNAcentral lists this long non-coding RNA (249 nucleotides) under Homo sapiens (human). RNAcentral's name for it is "HSALNT0211484". The record is from RNAcentral. Lineage: Eukaryota; Metazoa; Chordata; Mammalia; Primates; Hominidae.
CAGACAGAACUCCAGCAUGCUGCCUUCUAUAAUCAGGGUAAUGAGCUAUAGGAUGGUAGAUGAUGCAGCAUUCAAAGACUUGGAAGUAGAAGGUGCCAUGCAUCUAACCAUCAUGGUAUCCACACAACCAGCACCCUCUUCCCUCCUCUCUCCCCAUUGUUCUGUAAGUAGGAGAACGAGAAGGACAUGUUCUCUUUCUGUUGUUUUAUGGUAUUUUGUGGGUAGCAAGUAACAAUAUUAACAAUUAAU